GCAUGAACGGAGCUAUGAGGUUCUCACUGUCCCAAACUGUCUCUCAGCGAACCAACUGUAGUGGGAACGGUCACUAGAUAUCCAGCGGGGAAAGAAGACCCUGUAGAGCUUCACUUUGGUCUAGUCUUGUAUAGUUCCUGCGGGGGUGUAGACUAGGUGGGAGAGCAAUCGAUUCUGAAAAACCUCUACCCUGUUUGGAAUUAUGCUUACCUAUCACAAGGAAUAGGACUAGAUAGAAAGUUUGGCUGGGGCGGCACACCUUCGAAAGAGCAGCGAAGGUGUCCUAAGUUGAGCUCAGUGAGGACAGAAAUCUCACGUUGAGGAUAAGGCCAAAAGCUCAAUUUACUGUGCCUUUUUGUACUAGGAUCAGUUACGAAAGUAAGGCCUAACGAUCCCUAAAUAGCCUCAGGUGCGUGAGGAUUGGGGUGACAGACAAGUUACCUCCGGGACAACUGGCUUGUGGCUGCUAAGAGAUCAAAUCAACGCAGCUUUUUGAUUCUUCGAUGUCGGCUCUUCCUAUCCUAGUGAUGUACAAGUUGCUAAGGGUCGGAUUGUUCACCCGUAUUAGGGAUCGUGAGCUGGGUUUAGACCGUCGUGAGCCAGGUUUGUUUUAUCCUACUGGAUAUAGCAUCAUGAUAGUAGAUUGAUUUAGUACGAGAGGAACUGUUGAUUAUGGCCUCUGGUUAGCGAUUAUCGGAAACGGUAUGUCGCGCAGCUACGCCGUCUGGGAUAAUGGCUGAAAGCCUCUUAAGCCAGAAGCCCAUCUAGAAAGUGAUGCACGUGAUGUUGGACCGAUACGAAUAAUCAUACUCAAAAGGUCCGCUUCAUAGGUAACCCAAUG
Molecule: non-coding RNA, 841 nt
Filed under: Trichomonas vaginalis G3
Lineage: Eukaryota; Parabasalia; Trichomonadida; Trichomonadidae
Description: Eukaryotic large subunit ribosomal RNA
Rfam family: Eukaryotic large subunit ribosomal RNA
Source: Rfam by way of RNAcentral